CUUCAUCCCCAGAUGAUGACUAAUCUCCAUACCUAAUACUUCCCUUCCACUAGUAUCCAAGUAUCUUCAAGCUGACUUUCUCCAUUGUGCCUAUAUUAUCCCCUUGGUACUGCCAUUUUCAGGUGUAGAGUGUUCUCUUCCCAACUCCUCCUAAACUGAGAAACCACAAUGGCCUAGUGCAGGACACAGGCAAAGCCUGCCUGACCAACCGGAGCUGCCCUGUUUGUUUCCUGUCUGUGGGUCUUGAGCCCUUAGACCUCCUCUCUUGGAGUAGCCAUUAUCUUGGGACCACUUCCAGCACUGACGUUGAUGUUCUUCAUGGGAAAACAUUUGGUUUGUAUGGAAAAAAAGCCAGGCUGAUACCACAGUUGUGUACGUGCUAGUUCACUGCCCGCAUGCCUCUCUGUAUUUUUGCUGAUCAGGAGGCGUGUGCCAGUGAGCAGAACUGACUUGUCAUCCUGUGCCUGCAGCUAGCAGGCCAUCUCCCAGUGGCUGGGAGUCUGCUUGGUGCUGUGCCUGUGCAGCGCUACCUGCUCCUGUGCAGUUAUCCAGAGCCCAUCACUGGGGAGGGAGUCUCGGGGCACCUCCCAAACAUUGCUCACCACCACCGCCCUCAAGGAGAUCGUUGGCGGAGAUAGGGGAAUGCCUGCCCUGCUGCAACUGGUGCUGUGGCUGCCGUGUUAUUGCUGGCGACUGUGGAGGUAGACUGCACUGCCAAGUCUUUUCAUUGUGGUGUUCUGAUGACAAAGCUUAGAUUAAAACCUAUUAAAAAUACAAUAUAGUCAAAGUAAAACCAAUGUAAAUAUUUUAUGAUUAAGUAAUCAAAUGCUGUGUGCUGUGGAAUGGUGCAAUGCGUGCACAACAUGGCUGAUUGUAGUACUUCUUUGUCUGAGUUGGUCACAUGUAGGUUCAGUUUAACACUAAUGGUGAGGCCAAGCAUGAAGAAGAUGUGGGUAUCCUCACCUUCCGAUAGAUGUAGAGCUGCUUCGAAAAGGAGAUGUUCUCAUAGUGUACCAAAGGAAAUGGGUUAUGAGACUGAAUGCAGUUCUUGUACAUUUUGCCAAGUGUAAUGUUAGCUAUGAAGAUCAAUUUCACAGGUGGAAGAAUAAGAAAAGACAGCUACCUUGGAAAAAGUAAAUUCUCUGAUAAUGCUGCAGAGAAUAUAUGAUCUUAGCAGAAAGGAAUUUUAAAAGUCUGGGAAAAAACCUUAUUCUUUAGGCUCUGCCAAUAAUAAUAAUAAUUAAAAAAAAUAGAAGGAUCUUUAAAUAUGCCUAAUAAACUUUCAUAUUUGGGGCAGGAAAAGAAAUCAGUUGGCAGUGUGUUAGCCUGCUGGGAAGGUUGACUGCACAUACAGCUUAGAGCUCUGUUUGAACAGCAAGUAAGUCUCUGCAUACUCUGCAUUUGCUGGAAGUCUUGAAAGCAGAGCAUUAUGGUGCACUGCAAGGUAAGCAGAAGUAGUGAAUUAGUCUCCUUUUUGAACCAUGUAAAUGAAAAAGGACAUAACACAGCUCUGGCAUAAUUUGCUCUGAUGGACCCAGCCACCAUUUUAACUGGCACCCUUAUCUCACCAGGGAGAGGGAAGGGGAAGAGCUGUAAUUCCUGAGGCUCAAAAACUGCACCCUCUGUGUGGAUAUCUCGAAAAGCUGACAAAGACUUUUGGAAGCAGACUUCUGAAAAAAAAAUGGCUAUCUGCUCGUUUAACAGCAGGGUUGUCUUUUUACGCUCUAAUCUCUACAACAGGGUGAGGGGCAUGGAAAGCAGUAUUUCUGAAAUUAUCAACCUAAGCCAAUGAUGACUUGGUACAUUUGUGUGUGUUGCAUGUGUCUGUGCAUCUCCCACCCCCUCCCCAAGCAUGUAUGUGUAGAAGGCAGUCAGCUUGAACAACUACUGGAUGAAUUGAGACCAGUCGCUUGUGCUCAAGUGUCUUUGCUCAGUCGGUAGCUUCAGAUAAUGUUCUGGAUAUUGCUUUCUCACUCUGUUUUCCAACUGAAACCAAGGUGACGAUUCUUCAUUAAUCAUGGAGGCUACUGGGUGCCUUGCUGAGAUUUUGGGUUUUUUUUCUGCUGAGCUCCCAUGAGGAAUGCAACAAUUCUAAUAUAAGGGAGGCUUCCAGCAGCCCUUUACCCUUCAGCUCAAAGAGAGUCCUUAAGAACAUACGUCCCAGUAAUAGGAAGGACAAAUAAGAAGCAAUUUAGGAGCAAAAAAAAGGCAAUUCUAUUUACGCAUAUAAAGGUGGGUAUUUGUUUUAGACUUUCAGAUUUCCUCCCUUCUUCUGAUGGAAUUUUUGUUUUUGCUGGUCUUGAAACUGUCUUUGUCAUUCUUUCUUACUAUUUUCUUCUUUGCUCAGAUUUUCAUUUUCUUUGCAUAGUAAUAUUCCAUUUUUCUCCCCCUCUCUCCCCCCUCCCCCCCCCCCCACCUUCCCUUGCACUCUGGUUUUCUACAAUUUUCCUUUUCAAUCUUCUCCUCACACAUUCUCUACCCACUCCCUCCUGCCUCUCCCAUCUUCACCACACCUCGAGUCUCCAGCACAGCUCCAGCUCUCACAAAACAACAGCAAUCAUAUAACAAUUUACAACCAUUAGCCAAUUGAGUGUAACACCUCUCUACAAGGUAGGUAAUCAUUUACGAACGCUGCUAAGCUACUGCUGUUUGGUGUGACAGAUUGUUCAGCUGCUUCUGCUCUCUCAAAGGGCCCCAGACAACAAUAGUAAGGCUGUGAAAGCACAGGGUUGGGAUGAACAGCUAGAGCAGUGUGUGAGGAACUACAGACAUCUGCUGAGCUCUGAACUGUCUUUUUACUCCUGGUUUAGUGAGCAUUAAAUGUGUUGUGUGCCUCUAUUGUCAAAUUGGCUGCAUCUUGAGGGGAAAAAAAGAACAGAAGAAAAAGCAGACGAGAUGUCUGUGGCCCACUUAGAGCUCAUCAUGAAACACUUCAUAAAACAGGACGCAGCAACUGGUCUGUCUUCUUCGUCCUGUGACCACAAUGCUGUAAUCAUGUAAGCUAGACUGUGCUUAAGUAGGGAGAGGCCACUGUAUCUGCUGAAGGCAGUCAGUGAGUACAGAACGGCACGAUGCUACGUGGGGACUGCCAACCUGAAAUGCUGUGUGGCAUUUUUCCUAAAGGAAGACAUACAAGCCAGAGGUCUGCAAAGCACACAGACUCAUAGUGGAGCAGAGCUUCCAGAUGUGCUGUCCCUACAGGUACUGGUGAAUUGGGCCAGAUGUCCAUCUGAACCUUUAGGUAAGCACGCAGACAUUUCCACAAGUCUGGUCUUGUGCUGCUUUGCUAAGUGCUUUUGAAAGUCGCACCCAAUGUUAAAAAGAGAUUGAUGUGGGAGAUUAAGAUAAAUGCACAAAACACUUUCAUUUUCUUUAUUUUCAAUCGAUACUGUAUGAAUACAAAGUUUCUAGAAAGCUACAAAAAUUCUACCACUUUAUCAAGAAGGCAUCAAAAUGUGUCACUUUGCAAAGACAUGAAAACACCUGCAGUAACCGACACAAAAAUAGCAUUUUUAGAGUGAUGAAAUAAUUGCACUUAACUGUCAUGGAUAUUAAAGUUAUCACACAUAUGUACCGCGAAAGCUAGAAUACAUUUUUUUUUUUUUUUACAAAGCACUUUAUAAAAAAAUUCUCUGCACACAAAACCUAUAAUUUUCAUAUUACUAUCAUACUAAAGAUAAAUUCACUUUAAAGCCAACACUUAAAACAUUUUAAACAAAAAAAGGUACCAGUACCUACACACAGACAAUAACAAAUACAAGAAUACUGUACUGCCAAGAGGUUUGACUGAAACUCCUUUUGAAAGCUUCUGCAAAUAUGUUAAGAAAACAUUGGAGAACGUUCGGUGUUGUUUUUUUUUUUUUCAAAGAUCCUUCCCUCCCUGUCUAACCUAGAGGUACUUUAUCAUCAAAAGGCAAGUUCUACAUCAAAAGUUACCAGCAGCAGUACAAUAUUAAAGUAACCACUGACCAUAUAUGAAUAUGCUUAAGUCACAAACCCAUUUUAUACACAUUACACAAAUAAACAUAAAGUGAGAAUUCCAUUAAGUCAUUUACAAAUGUGAACAAAUGCACAUGGCAAAGAAAAAAAAAAAAAAGAAAAAGAAAAAAAAAAAAAGAAAAUUCAAACAAAACAAAA
Molecule: long non-coding RNA, 4137 nt
Organism: Tympanuchus pallidicinctus (lesser prairie-chicken)
Lineage: Eukaryota; Metazoa; Chordata; Aves; Galliformes; Phasianidae
Exons: 2
Source: RefSeq, a predicted model, not a curated record